This 793-nucleotide ribosomal RNA is filed under the name uncultured prokaryote. Its description in RNAcentral is "bacterial SSU rRNA". It matches the Rfam family "Bacterial small subunit ribosomal RNA", at positions 675 to 1482 of the family's 1533-position model. The record is from RNAcentral.
GUAGCGGUGAAAUGCUUAGAUAUCACGAAGAANUCCGAUUGCGAAGGCAGCUUGCUGGACUGUAACUGACGCUGAGGCACGAAAGCGUGGGGAUCAAACAGGAUUAGAUACCCUGGUANNCCACGCCGUAAACGAUGAAUGCUAGCUGUNAGCGAUAUACUGUUAGCGGCACAGAGAAAUCGUUAAGCAUUCCACCUGGGGAGUACGCCGGCAACGGUGAAACUCAAAGGAAUUGACGGGGGCCCGCACAAGCGGAGGAACAUGUGGUUUAAUUCGAUGAUACGCGAGGAACCUUACCUGGGCUUAAAUUGCAGUGGAAUAACGUGGAAACAUGUUAGCCUUCGGGCCGCUGUGAAGGUGCUGCAUGGUUGUCGUCAGCUCGUGCCGUGAGGUGUCGGCUUAAGUGCCAUAACGAGCGCAACCCUCAUCGAUAGUUACUAACAGGUUAAGCUGAGGACUCUAUCGAGACUGCCGACGUAAGUCGUGAGGAAGGUGGGGAUGACGUCAAAUCAGCACGGCCCUUACGUCCAGGGCUACACACGUGUUACAAUGGGGGGUACAAAGGGCAGCUACCUGGCGACAGGAUGCUAAUCUCAAAAACCUCUCUCAGUUCGGAUUGGAGUCUGCAACCCGACUCCAUGAAGCUGGAUUCGCUAGUAAUCGCGCAUCAGCCACGGCGCGGUGAAUACGUUCCCGGGCCUUGUACACACCGCCCGUCAAGCCAUGGGAGCCGGGGGGACCUGAAGUAUGCAACCGUAAGGAGCGUCCUAGGGUAAAACUGGUGACUGGGGCU